AGUUUGAUCCUGGCUCAGAUUGAACGCUAGCGGCAUGCUUAACACAUGCAAGUCGAACGGUAACAGGCCUAGCUUGCUAGGUGCUGACGAGUGGCGGACGGGUGAGUAACGCGUAGGAAUCUACCUAGUAGUGGGGGAUAACCUGGUGAAAACCAGGCUAAUACCGCAUAAGCCCUAAGGGGGAAAGCAGGGGACCGUAAGGCCUUGUGCUAUUAGAUGAGCCUGCGUCAGAUUGGCUCGUUGGUGGGGUAAGGGCCUACCAAGGUGAUGAUCUGUAGCUGGUCUGAGAGGACGACCAGCCACACUGGGACUGAGACACGGCCCAGACUCCUACGGGAGGCAGCAGUGGGGAAUAUUGGACAAUGGGCGCAAGCCUGAUCCAGCAAUGCCGCGUGUGUGAAGAAGGCCUGCGGGUUGUAAAGCACUUUCAGUGGGGAGGAAGGUCUCAAUACUAAUAGUAUUGAGAAUUGACGUUACCCACAGAAGAAGCACCGGCUAACUCUGUGCCAGCAGCCGCGGUAAUACAGAGGGUGCAAGCGUUAAUCGGAAUUACUGGGCGUAAAGGGUGCGUAGGUGGUUUUUUAAGUCAGAUGUGAAAGCCCUGGGCUCAACCUAGGAAUUGCAUUUGAUACUGAAUAACUUGAGUAUGGUAGAGGGAAGUGGAAUUUCCAGUGUAGCGGUGAAAUGCGUAG
This 692-nucleotide ribosomal RNA is filed under the name uncultured bacterium. RNAcentral's name for it is "bacterial SSU rRNA". It matches the Rfam family "Bacterial small subunit ribosomal RNA", at positions 10 to 693 of the family's 1533-position model. The record is from RNAcentral.